This 497-nucleotide ribosomal RNA is filed under the name uncultured bacterium. RNAcentral describes it as "partial 16S ribosomal RNA". It matches the Rfam family "Bacterial small subunit ribosomal RNA", at positions 28 to 507 of the family's 1533-position model. The record is from RNAcentral.
GACGAACGCUGGCGGCGUGCCUAAUACAUGCAAGUUGAGCGCUGAAGGUUGGUCCUUGUACCAACUGGAUGAGCAGCGAACGGGUGAGUAACGCGUGGGGAAUCUGCCUUUGAGCGGGGGACAACAUUUGGAAACGAAUGCUAAUACCGCAUAAAAACUUUAAACACAAGUUUUAAGUUUGAAAGAUGCAAUUGCAUCACUCAAAGAUGAUCCCGCGUUGUAUUAGCUAGUUGGUGAGGUAAAGGCUCACCAAGGCGAUGAUACAUAGCCGACCUGAGAGGGUGAUCGGCCACAUUGGGACUGAGACACGGCCCAAACUCCUACGGGAGGCAGCAGUAGGGAAUCUUCGGCAAUGGACGAAAGUCUGACCGAGCAACGCCGCGUGAGGGAAGAAGGUUGUCGGAUCGUAAAACUCUGUUGGUAGAGAAGAGCGUUGGUGAGAGUGGAAAGCUCAUCAAGUGACGGUAACUACCCAGAAAGGGACGGCUAACUACGUG